CGAAGUUGAAAGGAGUAAUCCGUCUAAAGGUGAGCCCGCGUCCGAUUAGCUAGUUGGUAGAGUAAAAGCCUACCAAGGCGACGAUCGGUAGCUGGUCUGAGAGGAUGAUCAGCCACAAUGGGACUGAGACACGGCCCAUACUCCUACGGGAGGCAGCAGUGGGAAUUUUACGCAAUGGGCGAAAGCCUGACGUAGCGACACCGCGUGAGCGAAGUAGCCCCUUGGGGUGUAAAGCUCUGUCAGCUGGAACGAAAAGAAUGACGGUACCAGCAGAGGAAGCAUCGGCUAACUACGUG
RNAcentral lists this ribosomal RNA (296 nucleotides) under uncultured bacterium. Its description in RNAcentral is "partial 16S ribosomal RNA". It matches the Rfam family "Bacterial small subunit ribosomal RNA", at positions 195 to 507 of the family's 1533-position model. The record is from RNAcentral.